The submitters of this non-coding RNA (51 nucleotides) gave its source as unclassified sequences. The record is from Rfam.
UACGUUCAACCUUUAUGGUCGGAAGUAAGCUUGAAGCUGAAGGAACGCAUU